Molecule: ribosomal RNA, 468 nt
Filed under: uncultured bacterium
Lineage: Bacteria
Description: partial 16S ribosomal RNA
Rfam family: Bacterial small subunit ribosomal RNA
Source: RNAcentral
GACGAACGCUGGCGGCGUGCUUAACACAUGCAAGUCGAACGGAAAGGCCCUGCGUUUGUGGGGUGCUCGAGUGGCGAACGGGUGAGUAACACGUGAGUAACCUGCCCUUGACUUUGGGAUAACUUCAGGAAACUGGGGCUAAUACCGGAUAGGAGCUCCUGCUGCAUGGUGGGGGUUGGAAAGUUUCGGCGGUUGGGGCUGGUCUCGCGGCUUAUCAGCUUGUUGGUGAGGUAGUGGCUUACCAAGGCUUUGACGGGUAGCCGGCCUGAGAGGGUGACCGGCGACAUUGCGCCUGCGAUACGGCCCAGUCUCCUACGGGAGGCAGCGGUGGAGAGCAUUGCGCAAUGGGCGGACGCCUGAUGCAGCGACGCCGCGUGCGGAAUGCCGGCCUUCGGGUUGUAAACCGCUUUCGCCUGUGCCGAGGCCUGAGUGACGGUAAUUGGUAAAGAAGCCCCGGCUAACUACGUG